RNAcentral lists this ribosomal RNA (776 nucleotides) under Cocculinidae sp. HS216. RNAcentral describes it as "partial large subunit ribosomal RNA". It matches the Rfam family "Eukaryotic large subunit ribosomal RNA", at positions 57 to 628 of the family's 3401-position model. Lineage: Eukaryota; Metazoa; Mollusca; Gastropoda; Cocculinidae. The record is from RNAcentral.
AAAAGGAAUUAACAAAGAUUCCCCCAGUAACGGCGAGUGAAGUGGGAUUUAGCCCAGCACCGAAUCCUAGCGGCCGAAGUGUCGCGUGGACCUGUGGUGUUAGGGGCCCCGGACUUCGUCCUGCUCGUGGCGCCUCAGUUUCAUUGAAAGGGCUGUUGCUCCAGAGCGGGUGUCAGACCCUUGUGCGGCGCACGUGCGGGUGAAGUUCCCAGGGGCCCUACGAGUCGGGUUGUUUGAGAGUGCAGCCCAAAGACGGUGGUAAGCUCCAUCGAAGGCUAAACACUGCCACGAGUCCGAUAGCGAACAAGUACCGUGAGGGAACGUUGAAAAGGACUUCGAAGAGAGAGUUCAAGAGUACGUGAAACCGCCUAAAGGGAAACGAGUGGCUCCGCAUUGUCGGCCUGCGGUGUUCAUCUCGCUCGCUCGGGCGACCGGUCGUUCGACGGUCUUGCUUCUCAGCUCGACCUCGGUGCGAUGCUGGUCAUUCGCUCGGCUUGCGUGUGCAUUUGCCGCGAGGCAGGGCGUCACGAUCGCUUCUUUACGGGCGCGCGUCGGUCGGUGGUCUUGGCGUGUGCGACUCGUCUCCUUCGUGGGACUGUCGACUCGCGCAGACCGCCUUCCCGCGUGUUCGGGAGCGUGUAACGAUCGGCCACGACCUCGCCGGCUGCCGUCUUCGGCGCCGAGACCGGCCGUCGGUUCGCACUCGUGCGACCGCGCGGCUGUCUCGGCUCGGAGCUAGGCGGCUGGCGUUCCGGGCCUUGCAUCGGUGGCGAUUG